AGUGAACGCUGGCGGUAGGCCUAACACAUGCAAGUCGAACGGCAGCACAGUAAGAGCUUGCUCUUACGGGUGGCGAGUGGCGGACGGGUGAGGAAUACAUAGGAAUCUACUUUUUCGUGGGGGAUAACGUAGGGAAGCUUACGCUAAUACCGCAUACGACCUACGGGUGAAAGCAGGGGAUCUUCGGACCUUGCGCGAUUGAAUGAGCCGAUGUCGGAUUAGCUAGUUGGCGGGGUAAAGGCCCACCAAGGCGACGAUCCGUAGCUGGUCUGAGAGGAUGAUCAGCCACACUGGAACUGAGACACGGUCCAGACUCCUACGGGAGGCAGCAGUGGGGAAUAUUGGACAAUGGGCGCAAGCCUGAUCCAGCCAUACCGCGUGGGUGAAGAAGGCCUUCGGGUUGUAAAGCCCUUUUGUUGGGAAAGAAAAGCAGCAGGUUAAUACCCCGCUGUUCUGACGGUACCCAAAGAAUAAGCACCGGCUAACUUCGUG
Molecule: ribosomal RNA, 492 nt
Filed under: uncultured bacterium
Lineage: Bacteria
Description: partial 16S ribosomal RNA
Rfam family: Bacterial small subunit ribosomal RNA
Source: RNAcentral